This 253-nucleotide ribosomal RNA is filed under the name uncultured bacterium. Its description in RNAcentral is "partial 16S ribosomal RNA". It matches the Rfam family "Bacterial small subunit ribosomal RNA", at positions 524 to 776 of the family's 1533-position model. The record is from RNAcentral.
UACGGAGGAUGCAAGCGUUAUCCGGAAUCAUUGGGCGUAAAGCGUCCGUAGGUGGCUAAUCAAGUCUGCUGUCAAAUCGUGCGGCUCAACCGCAUUCGGGCAGUGGAAACUGGGUAGCUAGAGUGCGAUAGGGGUGAUAGGAAUUCCCGGUGUAGCGGUGAAAUGCGUAGAUAUCGGGAAGAACACCAGCGGCGAAAGCGUAUCACUGGGUCUGCACUGACACUGAGGGACGAAAGCUAGGGGAGCGAAAGGG